Molecule: ribosomal RNA, 253 nt
Filed under: uncultured bacterium
Lineage: Bacteria
Description: partial 16S ribosomal RNA
Rfam family: Bacterial small subunit ribosomal RNA
Source: RNAcentral
AACGUAGGACACGAGCGUUAUCCGGAGUUAUUGGGCGUAAAGAGCUCGUAGGCGGUUUGUCGCGUCUGCCGUGAAAGUCCGGGGCUCAACUCCGGAUCUGCGGUGGGUACGGGCAGACUAGAGUGAUGUAGGGGAGACUGGAAUUCCUGGUGUAGCGGUGAAAUGCGCAGAUAUCAGGAGGAACACCGAUGGCGAAGGCAGGUCUCUGGGCAUUAACUGACGCUGAGGAGCGAAAGCAUGGGGAGCGAACAGG